GAUCGGAUGGCCACGUAUAGUUUCAGAGUUGAUUGGGACUCAGUAUUCCUAGUAUAACAAUAUUUUUGAGAUUUUGAAGCCUAUAUAGCUUCGAUUGAUGAGCCGUUUAUUGCGUUGGAUAGCUGGUGACAUCCUGGAGGUGCAAAAAGGCUUCAAGAGAGAUUUUAGAGAGCUUUUGUGAGGGUUUUGGGACUUUUUAUUGAGGGACUCUUGUACAAGGGUUAAGUGAUGAGUUUUUCUUGUAUUGGUUUAUUUUAUUCUCUCAUAAUGAAGCUUGCAUGCCCCAUGGAGGUAGGUUUGAGGCUGAUCCAUGUAUUUGUAUGGUGUUUCUUAUUUUAUUUUUUUUUCCUGCUGCACCAUGUGGUUUUGGAUCCUGCACAAUAGAAGAGUGGAGAGAGUCUAUGUAGAAGAAAUCAAUUUUCAACUAUGUCAUAUAUGGGGAAUCUGUUGCUCCUUGAAUUGAUUUUGAUGAUUACAAAGUAUUUGAGGGGGUUACUAAUAUUUUUGGAUUGAGAAAAGAUUUAUUAUUUUUCAGGGAUAAAAUCAUAAUUUUAUCAAGUUCUGAUUCGAAAACCUCAAGAGCAAGGACAGAAGACUUGUGAUCUAUUGGAGGCAAUUUCAAUAUUUUUGGAUGUGUAUUUUGAAAGA
RNAcentral lists this long non-coding RNA (648 nucleotides) under Elaeis guineensis (African oil palm). Its description in RNAcentral is "long non-coding RNA (EGUI_LNC056599)". The record is from RNAcentral. Lineage: Eukaryota; Viridiplantae; Streptophyta; Magnoliopsida; Arecales; Arecaceae.